This 253-nucleotide ribosomal RNA is filed under the name uncultured bacterium. RNAcentral describes it as "partial 16S ribosomal RNA". It matches the Rfam family "Bacterial small subunit ribosomal RNA", at positions 524 to 776 of the family's 1533-position model. The record is from RNAcentral.
UACGGAGGGUGCAAGCGUUAUCCGGAUUUACUGGGUUUAAAGGGUGCGUAGGCGGGCCAUUAAGGCAGUGGUGAAAGCUCCGAGCUUAACUCGGAAACUGCCAUUGAUACUAUUGGUCUUGAAUUCGGUCGAGGUUGGCGGAAUGUGUCGUGUAGCGGUGAAAUGCUUAGAUAUGACACAGAACACCGAUUGCGAAGGCAGCUAGCUAGACCGACAUUGACGCUGAGGCACGAAAGCGUGAGGAUCAAACAGG